GAUGAACGCUGGCGGCGUGCCUAAUACAUGCAAGUCGAGCGAACAGACGAGGAGCUUGCUCCUCUGACGUUAGCGGCGGACGGGUGAGUAACACGUGGAUAACCUACCUAUAAGACUGGGAUAACUUCGGGAAACCGGAGCUAAUACCGGAUAAUAUAUUGAACCGCAUGGUUCAAUAGUGAAAGACGGUUUUGCUGUCACUUAUAGAUGGAUCCGCGCCGCAUUAGCUAGUUGGUAAGGUAACGGCUUACCAAGGCGACGAUGCGUAGCCGACCUGAGAGGGGGCGGGCACACAGGAGAACAGAGACAGGCACCGGACCACGGGGGGGGGAGGCAGGGGGGAUUCUUCCGCAAGGGGCAAAAGCCUGAGGGAGCAGCGCGGGGGGGGUAAGAAAGUUGUUGGGAUCGAAAACUUUGUUUAUUGGGAAAAAAAAAAUGGGAAAGAAAUUAUGCGCGUUUGGAGGGACCCUAAUAAAAAGACCACGACAAACUCGGUC
RNAcentral lists this ribosomal RNA (497 nucleotides) under uncultured bacterium. RNAcentral's name for it is "partial 16S ribosomal RNA". It matches the Rfam family "Bacterial small subunit ribosomal RNA", at positions 28 to 507 of the family's 1533-position model. The record is from RNAcentral.